CACGUCAGCGUAUUUUGCUGACGUGGAAACAAAUCGCGUCCACGUAAGAGCUAUUUGUGUCCACGUCAGCAAAGCGCGCUGACGUGG
Molecule: non-coding RNA, 87 nt
Organism: Gossypium hirsutum (cotton)
Lineage: Eukaryota; Viridiplantae; Streptophyta; Magnoliopsida; Malvales; Malvaceae
Source: Rfam